UGGGAGAGGUACAGCCCCCCUCACCCGCUUUCCCUUUCUGCACCACGACAAACGAAGCAAGAGAUAGACAUAAAAAGCUGGAGUAACUCAGCGGGAGAGGACUCGCCCACAUCCACACCGAGCCGCACAGCUCCCAGCAGUGGGCGGUUUGCGCUGUCAGGAGGCGCCAGCAGGUGGAACUGAAAAAGCAGAUGGUUGACCAUAAUACCGAGGACUGGCAGAGCAAUGAAGACUUUGCAGGGUUGGAGCGGGUCGGAGGGGUGGAUUUAUCCUUCAUCAAAGAAGAUGAGGUCAAUGCUUGUGCUUCAUUAGUGGUUCUCAGUUAUCCUGAUCUCGAGCUGCAGGUAUAGAGAAAUAUUUUAACAUUGUGAACGUCCCAAUGCCCUUCACAAGAGGAGAAGCAGAUGGCGAAAAUUGAUGGGAAGGGUCAGGAUAAAGCUGAGAAAGCAAAUGGGGAAAGUAAGAAAUGACUAACAUGAAGAAAAGGAGACACAAGGAUCUGCAGAUGUUGGAAUCUUGAGUAAAAUACAAAGUGCUGGAGUAACUCAGAGGAUC
This is a long non-coding RNA of Amblyraja radiata (thorny skate), 555 nucleotides long. RefSeq lists it as uncharacterized. Lineage: Eukaryota; Metazoa; Chordata; Chondrichthyes; Rajiformes; Rajidae. The transcript has 3 exons. The record is from RefSeq and is a predicted model, not a curated record.